Molecule: ribosomal RNA, 408 nt
Filed under: uncultured bacterium
Lineage: Bacteria
Description: partial 16S ribosomal RNA
Rfam family: Bacterial small subunit ribosomal RNA
Source: RNAcentral
GACGAACGCUGGCGGCGUGCUUAACACAUGCAAGUCGAACGAAGUGGCGAACGGGUGAGUAACGCGUAAUUAACCUGCCCUUCAGAGGGGGACAACAGUUGGAAACGACUGCUAAUACCGCAUACUGAAGGAGGGGAUUGCGUCUGAUUAGUUAGUUGGGGGGGUAAAGGCCUACCAAGGCGACGAUCCGUAACUGGUCUGAGAGGAUGAUCAGUCACACUGAAACGGGGACACGGUCCAGACGCCUACGGGAGGCAGCAGUGGGAAAUAUUGGACAAUGGGUGAAAGACUGAUGCAGCGACGCCGCGUGGGGGAUGAAGGCUUUCGGGUUGUAAACCUCUUUCGGUAUAGAACGGGUAGGUGGAGAAGAAGCGCCGGCUAACUACGUGCCAGCAGCCGCGGUAAUUC